RNAcentral lists this non-coding RNA (596 nucleotides) under Loxodonta africana (African savanna elephant). Its description in RNAcentral is "c-sis internal ribosome entry site (IRES)". It matches the Rfam family "c-sis internal ribosome entry site (IRES)". From Rfam's summary of the family: This family represents the c-sis 5'-UTR which contains three modules that can individually mediate internal ribosome entry. However, the full length sequence is required for maximal IRES activity. Lineage: Eukaryota; Metazoa; Chordata; Mammalia; Proboscidea; Elephantidae. The record is from Rfam by way of RNAcentral.
CGGAGCAGCCACAGCUCACAGCACGCAGAGGACCCCCACAGCAGCAGCCAGACUGACCGACGGACUCGCGCCGCGUCCACCUGUCGGCGGGGCCGGGGCUGAGCGCGCACACCGCGCGCGCGGUGCAGCCGUGCCCGCCGCCCAGGUCCCGCGCCAGGGCGCACACGCUCCGGCACCCCCCACCCGGCCGGGGCGGGAGUUUGCACCUUUUCCCUGCCUGGGUGCUCGGGCCGCCGCUGCAAAGCCACUUUGGAAAAAGUUUUUCUUGGAGGAAGCUUGGCUUUUGAGGUGCCCAGCCCUGCGCUUUCCGAUUUGGAGGACCAUCCCAGAAAAUGUUGCAAAAAAGAUAAGCCGGCGGGCAGAGGAAAACGCCUUUAGCCGGCGAGUGAAGACGAACCAUCGGCUGCCGUGUUCCUUUUCCUCUUGGAGGUUGGAGUCCCCUGGGCGCCCCCACACGGCUAGACGCCUCGGCUGGUUCGCGACGCAGCCCCCCGGUCGUGGAUGCUCGCUCGGGCUCGGGAUCCGCCCAGGUAGCGGCCGCGUACCCUGGUCCCGCGCCCAGGCCCUCCCCAACCCCCCAACGACGGAGCCCGGGC